Molecule: RNA transcript, 2070 nt
Organism: Symphalangus syndactylus (siamang)
Lineage: Eukaryota; Metazoa; Chordata; Mammalia; Primates; Hylobatidae
Gene: TTC29
Gene name: tetratricopeptide repeat domain 29
Source: RefSeq, a predicted model, not a curated record
GCCCGGUUUAGCCUAACACCACCCCCGGCCGUCCUGCCUCGCCUCUCUGUUUCCCUGGAGACGCUCUCGGCGUCUCCUCUCUACGCGCCGGCGGAGCCAGGCCUUGGAAUCACUCAGAGAGGAGGGGGCAGCGCCAACGCCCAGCACCUGCCGCCGGUGGGGGACUGACUUCGGCGGAACGGAAAACUGGAGUUGUUUCCCUGGGCCAGUGCACCGAGGCUGAAGUCUAUAAGCUUGGAGAGACCAUUAGCAGUAAUCUGCAAAUUCCGAAAUGACCACCCUGCCCUCACUGCCCAUGACACGCCCGAAGCUUACAGCCUUAGCCAGACAGAAGCUGCCUUGCUCCUCCAGAAAAAUUCCAAGGUCUCAAUUGAUCAAAGAAAAAGAUGACAUAGAUCAUUAUCUAGAGGUGAAUUUCAAAGGAUUAUCAAAAGAGGAGGUUGCAGCUUAUAGGAACUCCUACAAGAAGAAUAUCUGUGUGGACAUGCUGCGAGAUGGUUAUCAUAAGUCCUUCACCGAGCUCUUCGCUCUGAUGGAGCAGUGGGAUGCCCUGAGGGAGGCUGCGAGAGUCAGGUCCCUCUUCUGGCUGCAGAAGCCCCUGGAGGAGCAGCCUGAUAAACUGGAUUACUUCUACCAUUACCUGACCAGGGCUGAGGACGCUGAGAGGAAAGAAUCCUUCGAAGAUGUAUAUAAUAACUUGUAUGCUCUGGCCUGUUACUUCGAUAAUUCUGAAGACAAGUGGGUAAGGAACCACUUCUAUGAACGAUGUUUUAAGAUUGCUCAGCUGAUCAAAAUUGACUGUGGGAAGAAAGAAGCUGAGGCACACAUGCAUAUGGGUCUUCUCUACGAGGAAGAUGGUCAGCUUCUGGAAGCUGCUGAGCAUUAUGAAGCAUUCCAUCAAUUGACGCAGGGGCGGAUAUGGAAGGAUGAGACAGGCCGCUCUCUCAACUUGUUGGCCUGUGAGAGUCUCCUGAGGACUUACAGAUUACUCUCAGACAAAAUGCUAGAAAAUAAAGAAUACAAACAGGCCAUCAAAAUUCUAAUAAAAGCUUCUGAAAUAGCCAAAGAAGGAAGUGACAAAAAGAUGGAAGCGGAAGCCUCUUACUACUUGGGCUUAGCACACUUAGCUGCUGAGGAAUAUGAAACAGCAUUAACAGUCCUUGACACUUACUGUAAAAUCUCCACAGACCUGGAUGAUGAUCUCAGUCUAGGGAAAGGCUAUGAAGCCAUAGCCAAGGUCCUGCAGAGCCAAGGAGAGAUGACAGAAGCAAUUAAAUACUUGAAAAAAUUUGUGAAAAUUGCAAGAAACAAUUUUCAAAGCCUAGAUUUUGUGAGAGCAAGUACAAUGCUUGGGGACAUCUACAAUGAAAAAGGAUACUACAACAAAGCUUCUGAAUGCUUUCAGCAAGCUUUUGACACAACAGUAGAGCUAAUGAGCAUGCCUCUGAUGGAUGAGACAAAAGUUCACUAUGGAAUAGCAAAAGCUCAUCAGAUGAUGCUUACAGUGAACCACUAUAUAGAGUCUGCAGAUCUCACAAGCCUCAACUACCUGCUGUCAUGGAAGGAGAGCAGAGGUGACAUUGAACCUGAUCCAGUUACUGGAAGAUGACAGUUCCUCCCUCACAAGGUUGCCUUGAGGAUCCACUGACAGAAUUCACCUGUUGGCCACCUGCCUAGUGGCCAUUGCCCGACUUCUUACCUGACAACAGAAUUCUUACCGGUUUUUCCUCUUCAAGGUCCCACGUACUUAAAGGGAGGGAGCACAAAAUAAGGAAUUCCCCUUUUCCUGAUUUUAAAUGUUGAUGCAUGAAUAUGUGAUGCCUGGAGCAACCAUAGCCAACUUGCAACCAAGCUAUCAAAGUGCUGAGGAUGGCAACGAGAAAGCACAGAAGGAAUCAGAUGCGUAACAAGUUCCGGGCAUGCCAAAGUAACCAACCCUGUAAUUACCACCACUACUUUCUAUUAAUGUGAGAUAAAUGUCCCCAUUUCUCUUUGUAUUUUAUUAUUUUUAAUUGACAAAAACAAAUUAUAUAUAUUUAUAAUGUACAACAUGAUGUUUUGAAACAUGUA